This 383-nucleotide ribosomal RNA is filed under the name uncultured eukaryote. Its description in RNAcentral is "partial 18S ribosomal RNA". It matches the Rfam family "Eukaryotic small subunit ribosomal RNA", at positions 592 to 976 of the family's 1831-position model. The record is from RNAcentral.
CAAUAGCGUAUAUUUAAGUUGCUGCAGUUAAAAAGCUCGUAGUUGGAUUUCUGGUAGGAGUGACCGUUCCGAACUUGAUUGUUCGUGUAUUGUGUUUUCUCCAGCCAUCCUUGUGGAGAACUUUUCUUGCAUUAAUUUGUAGGGAUUGGGACCCGCAUCGUUUACUGUGAAAAAAUUAGAGUGUUUAAAGCAGGCAAUCGCUUGAAUACAUUAGCAUGGAAUAAUAAGAUAGGACUUUGGUACUAUUUUGUUGGUUUGCAUACCAAAUUAAUGAUCAACAGGAACAGUUUGAGGAUAUUCGUAUGAACAUGUCAGAGGUGAAAUUCUUGGAUUUUGAUCAGACGAACUACUGCGAAAGCAUUUAUCAAGGAUGUUUUCAUUAA